CUGGCACAGAUAGAUAGAUAGAGAUAUAGAUGAUAUAAACAGCUACUAUAUCUACUAUGCCAUCAAAUGCAAGGAAUGCAUGCAAUAUCAUUUAUCAUGCUAGUAUGCUUUAACAAUGUAAUGAAUACAAAUACGACACAGUUAUGCAAUCCACUAACAUAUACUAUGUCUAAUCAGGGUAUGAAUGCAAAUCCACUUAUGCUAUUCAUGUCAUUACCCAAUCCACUAGGCUACCCCGCCUAAGAUCUCAAAUCUCAUAGGUACUCACACCACAAAUCUAGUAGGUGAAGAGGUGAAGAGCUACCCCGCUCUUCGCCCUGACUGAUAUCUCGAAUCUCAUAGGUAAGGAGCUACCCCGCUCUUAUCUCACCCGUCUCACAUCUCAAAGGUAAUAGAUGAAGAGCUACCCCGCUCUAAUCUCAUAGAUAUUGAGCUGCCCCGCUCAAUCUCAUAGGGGAAAGGCUACCCCGCCCUUCGCCCCAACUCACGUCCCAGUCCAAUAGAUGAGGAGCUACCCCGCUCGUAUCCCACCCGAUAAGCUACCCCGCUCGUGUGACAACUCCGGAGUGCACUGCUUGUGUGGAGCGACCACCACAAGCUCAAAACAGACUAUGUGAGUAUGAUCCAAUCCUCGCCAACUGAGGAUACCCUGUCAACUAGGAUUAACAAACACUCGAAAGUCCACCUAUCCGUAGGUCCAU
Molecule: long non-coding RNA, 701 nt
Filed under: Ananas comosus (pineapple)
Lineage: Eukaryota; Viridiplantae; Streptophyta; Magnoliopsida; Poales; Bromeliaceae
Description: long non-coding RNA (ACOM_LNC037038)
Source: RNAcentral